The sequence is a ribosomal RNA, 395 nucleotides long. It matches the Rfam family "Eukaryotic small subunit ribosomal RNA", at positions 582 to 975 of the family's 1831-position model.
AUUCCAGCUCCAAUAGCGUAUAUUAAAGUUGUUGCAGUUAAAAAGCUCGUAGUUGGAUUUCUGGUGGGGCUGUCGGCCUGGCUCCGAAAGGGGUCGUGGUUAGUACACGCCUGGCCAUCCUCGGGGGAAGCUUUGCUGGCAUUAAGUUGUCGGCGGAGUGACGCUCGUCGUUUACUGUGAACAAAUUAGAGUGUUCAAAGCAGGCUUAGGCCGUUGAAUACAUUAGCAUGGAAUAAUGAGAUAGGACUUUGGUGGUCUAUUUUGUUGGUUUGCACGCCGAAGUAAUGAUUAAUAGGGGCGGUUGGGGGUAUUCGUAUUCAAUUGUCAGAGGUGAAAUUCUUGGAUUUAUGGAAGACGAACUACUGCGAAAGCAUUUACCAAGGAUGUUUUCAUUA